Molecule: ribosomal RNA, 498 nt
Filed under: uncultured bacterium
Lineage: Bacteria
Description: partial 16S ribosomal RNA
Rfam family: Bacterial small subunit ribosomal RNA
Source: RNAcentral
GACGAACGCUGGCGGCGUGCCUAAUACAUGCAAGUCGAGCGGACGAAUCGAAAGCUUGCUUUUGAUUCGUUAGCGGCGGACGGGUGAGUAACACGUGGGCAACCUGCCCUGUAGACGGGGAUAACACCGAGAAAUCGGUGCUAAUACCGGAUAACACGUAAUGUCGCAUGACGUUUCGUUGAAAGACGGCGCAAGCUGUCGCUACAGGAUGGGCCCGCGGCGCAUUAGCUAGUUGGUGAGGUAACGGCUCACCAAGGCGACGAUGCGUAGCCGACCUGAGAGGGUGAUCGGCCACACUGGGACUGAGACACGGCCCAGACUCCUACGGGAGGCAGCAGUAGGGAAUCUUCCGCAAUGGACGAAAGUCUGACGGAGCAACGCCGCGUGAGCGAAGAAGGCCUUCGGGUCGUAAAGCUCUGUUGUUAGGGAAGAACAAGUAACGCAGUAACUGGCGUUACCGUGACGGUACCUAACGAGAAAGCCACGGCUAACUACGUG